Molecule: transfer RNA, 72 nt
Filed under: Camelus bactrianus (Bactrian camel)
Lineage: Eukaryota; Metazoa; Chordata; Mammalia; Artiodactyla; Camelidae
Also listed under: 1 other name
Rfam family: tRNA
About the family: Transfer RNA (tRNA) molecules are approximately 80 nucleotides in length. Their secondary structure includes four short double-helical elements and three loops (D, anti-codon, and T loops).
Source: Rfam by way of RNAcentral
GGAGGGUUAACUCAGUGGUGAAGUGCAUGCUUAGCAUGCAGGAGGUCCUGAGUUCAAUCCCCAGUACUUCCA